Molecule: ribosomal RNA, 253 nt
Filed under: uncultured bacterium
Lineage: Bacteria
Description: partial 16S ribosomal RNA
Rfam family: Bacterial small subunit ribosomal RNA
Source: RNAcentral
UACGGAGGGUGCAAGCGUUAUCCGGAUUCACUGGGUUUAAAGGGUGCGUAGGUGGGCAAGUAAGUCAGUGGCGAAAUCUCCGGGCUUAACCCGGAAACUGCCAUUGAUACUAUUUGUCUUGAAUACUGUGGAGGUCAGCGGAAUAUGUCAUGUAGCGGUGAAAUGCUUAGAUAUGACAUAGAACACCAAUUGCGAAGGCAGCUGGCUACACAAAUAUUGACACUGAGGCACGAAAGCGUGGGGAUCAAACAGG